AAAAAUUGUAAAAUUAAUUCAAAGUAAACAUAAAAACAAACACUACUUAUCAAUUUAGGAUAAUAUAGCAGUCUUAUUUUUUUCAAAGGAUAUCUUUCUGUGAAAUCGUUGUGACUUUAGCAAUGGGUGUUCAGUGGAUUUUGUUGAUUCUGAUUUUUGGCAUAGUUAAUACUAACGCAGUAACCACACUUCCUCCUACUACUACUACUGUGGCCACUACAACUGCAGACCUAAGCCAGAACUUCAAUAGCAAAGCCACAGUUCCUACCAGCGACCUCUACCUUCACGUCUUGAUAGUUUGUGGAAUGUCUGUUAUGAAACUUAUUUGAAGGCCGU
Long non-coding RNA from Mytilus trossulus (common blue mussel), 336 nucleotides. RefSeq lists it as uncharacterized. The record is from RefSeq and is a predicted model, not a curated record. The transcript is spliced from 3 exons. NCBI's taxonomy places the organism in Eukaryota, Metazoa, Mollusca, Bivalvia, Mytilida, Mytilidae.